Molecule: ribosomal RNA, 481 nt
Filed under: Blastocystis sp.
Lineage: Eukaryota; Bigyra; Opalinata; Blastocystidae
Description: partial small subunit ribosomal RNA
Rfam family: Bacterial small subunit ribosomal RNA
Source: RNAcentral
CAUGGGUAGCAAACAGGAUUUGGUACCCUGGUAGUCCAUGCUGUAAACAAUAAAUAUUAAAUAUUUGAUCUGGUUAAACAUAUAAUUUUAUAUGGGAAGAAAAUCAUUUUAGAUUUUAACAUCAAAUAUUAAAAGUUAACACGUUAAAUAUUUCGCCUGGGGAGUAAAACCGCAAGGUUGAAACUCAAAGGAAUUGACGGGAGCUUAUACUUACGGUGGAGCAUGUGGUUUAAUCCGAUAGUCCGCGUGGAAUCUUACCAAUUUUUGACAGUUAUUUAGUUUUGAUUAAAUAAACAGGUGUUGCAUGGUCGUUGUCAGCUUAUGUUUUGAAAUUUUAUAAGUAUAACCCUUAAUUUAAUUUACUAAUAUUUAGAAAAAUUUUUAAACUAAAAAUUACUAAGUAAGUACUAUUAAAUUAGAAAUAUAAAAGUUUUUUUAUAUUUUAUGAGGAUGAAAAUAGAUCGUUAUGACCCUUAUAAAU